This 556-nucleotide ribosomal RNA is filed under the name uncultured bacterium. Its description in RNAcentral is "partial 16S ribosomal RNA". It matches the Rfam family "Bacterial small subunit ribosomal RNA", at positions 355 to 900 of the family's 1533-position model. The record is from RNAcentral.
UAGGGAAUCUUCCACAAUGGACGCAAGUCUGAUGGAGCAACGCCGCGUGAGUGAAGAAGGUUUUCGGACCGUAAAGCUCUGUUGUUGGUGAAGAAGGAUAGAGGUAGUAACUGGCCUUUUAUUUGACGGUAAUCAACCAGAAAGUCACGGCUAACUACGUGCCAGCAGCCGCGGUAAUACGUAGGUGGCAAGCGUUGUCCGGAUUUAUUGGGCGUAAAGCGAGCGCAGGCGGAAGAAUAAGUCUGAUGUGAAAGCCCUCGGCUUAACCGAGGAAUUGCAUCGGAAACUGUUUUCUUGAGUGCAGAAGAGGAGAGUAGAACUCCAUGUGUAGCGGUGGAAUGCGUAGAUAUAUGGAAGAAUACCAGUGGCGAAGGCGGCUCUCUGGUCUGCAACUGACGCUGAGGCUCGAAAGCAUGGGUAGCGAACAGGAUUAGAUACCCUUGGUAGUCCAUGCCGUAAACGAUGAGUGCUAAGUGUUGGGAGGCUUCCGCCUCUCAGUGCUGCAGCUAACGCAUUAAGCACUCCGCCUGGGGGAGUACGACCGCAAGGUUGAAAC